CAGUAGCCGCGGUAAUACGUAGGUGGCAAGCGUUGUCCGGAAUUAUUGGGCGUAAAGCGCGCGCAGGUGGUUUAAUAAGUCUGAUGUGAAAGCCCACGGCUCAACCGUGGAGGGUCAUUGGAAACUGUUAAACUUAAGUGCAGGAGAGAAAAGUGGAAUUCCUAGUGUAGCGGUGAAAUGCGUAGAGAUUGGAAAGAACACCAACGGCGAAAGCACUCUGCUGGGCCGACACUGACACUGAGAGACGAAAGCUAGGGGAGCAAAUGGGAUUAGAUACCCGCGUAGUCCCUGUCUCUUAUAC
This 301-nucleotide ribosomal RNA is filed under the name uncultured bacterium. Its description in RNAcentral is "partial 16S ribosomal RNA". It matches the Rfam family "Bacterial small subunit ribosomal RNA", at positions 509 to 807 of the family's 1533-position model. The record is from RNAcentral.